GGCUCCUCCGCGUUUCACACCGUUCGAGGCAACACGAGUACGGCGACGUAGCCCGACACUUCUGCUUCCAUCCUUAACCCCACAUCUUGAUCUUUUGGGGAGGAGGAGAACUUGCACGAGUGUGUGGGCGGCAGGAGUGAUGGUGAUGAGGGGGAAUGAGGCAUUGCGGGCGCACCUUGGGAUGGCGCUGGUGCAGGCGACCAACGGCGGCUUCCACGUGCUGACCAAGUCCGUGCUCAACGUCGGCAUGAACGAAGUGGCCUUCUGCGUCUACCGCGACUUCGUCGCCAUCUCCAUCCUCGCCCUCCUCCAACGAUGCAGGUUCCAAUGCUGAUCAAGUAUCCUUCCUGCUUGUCUUUGACAACAUACUUGUAUUUUUUUGGGGAUGGUAUUGACUGGAAUAUUUACCACUGGUUGUCAUACAGAGUGGAUGUUGACACCAUCAGAAAUAAUUGCUGUCUUAUAUGCAGAGGAUUUAUCUUCAUAACCAAUGAUCUGAAUCAAGAUUGCGAACCAUGGCGCCAAGGCUUAUCCAUUGAUGAUCUAUAACUUACUAUGAUCCAUGAGGACUAAGGAGUCGUAGAAGGCAACCUUGUGGAAGCAUCAGGUCUCUUCACAGGUGUUGCAUCUUCUUGAAGAAGAGGUGCAGAUUCAUGAUCUCCAUAACUGAUCCCUGUUGUCAU
Musa acuminata AAA Group (dessert banana) is the source of this 683-nucleotide long non-coding RNA. RefSeq lists it as uncharacterized. The record is from RefSeq and is a predicted model, not a curated record. NCBI's taxonomy places the organism in Eukaryota, Viridiplantae, Streptophyta, Magnoliopsida, Zingiberales, Musaceae. The transcript is spliced from 3 exons.